Molecule: transfer RNA, 73 nt
Filed under: Pseudomonadota bacterium
Lineage: Bacteria; Pseudomonadati; Pseudomonadota
Also listed under: 1 other name
Description: tRNA-Lys
Rfam family: tRNA
About the family: Transfer RNA (tRNA) molecules are approximately 80 nucleotides in length. Their secondary structure includes four short double-helical elements and three loops (D, anti-codon, and T loops).
Source: RNAcentral
GCCCCGCUAGCUCAAUUGGUAGAGCAUCGGAUUCUUAAUCCGAGGGCUGCAGGUUCGACUCCUGCGCGGGGUA